GGAUGACUAGCUCAACGGUAGAGCAUCGGACUCUUAAUCCGCUGGUUCUGGGUUCGAGUCCCAGGUCAUCCA
RNAcentral lists this transfer RNA (72 nucleotides) under Leptolyngbya sp. NIES-3755. It matches the Rfam family "tRNA". Rfam says of the family: Transfer RNA (tRNA) molecules are approximately 80 nucleotides in length. Their secondary structure includes four short double-helical elements and three loops (D, anti-codon, and T loops). Lineage: Bacteria; Bacillati; Cyanobacteriota; Cyanophyceae; Leptolyngbyales; Leptolyngbyaceae. The record is from Rfam by way of RNAcentral.